UGGGGAAUAUUGCACAAUGGGCGAAAGCCUGAUGCAGCGACGCCGCGUGAGGGAUGACGGCCUUCGGGUUGUAAACCUCUUUCAGCAGGGAAGAAGCGAAAGUGACGGUACCUGCAGAAGAAGCGCCGGCUAACUACGUGCCAGCAGCCGCGGUAAUACGUAGGGCGCAAGCGUUGUCCGGAAUUAUUGGGCGUAAAGAGCUCGUAGGCGGUUAGUCGCGUCUGCUGUGAAAACUCGAGGCUCAACCUCGGGCUUGCAGUGGGUACGGGCUGACUAGAGUGCAGUAGGGGUGACUGGAAUUCCUGGUGUAGCGGUGGAAUGCGCAGAUAUCAGGAGGAACACCGAUGGCGAAGGCAGGUCACUGGGCCGCAACUGACGCUGAGGAGCGAAAGCAUGGGGAGCGAACAGGAUUAGAUACCCUGGUAGUCCAUGCCGUAAACGUUGGGCACUAGGUGUGGGUCCAUUCCACGGAUUCCGUGCCGCAGCAAACGCAUUAAGUGCCCCGCCUGGGGAGUACGGCCGCAAGGCUAAAACUCAAAUGAAUUGACGGGGUCAUAGCUGUUUCCU
This 567-nucleotide ribosomal RNA is filed under the name uncultured bacterium. RNAcentral's name for it is "partial 16S ribosomal RNA". It matches the Rfam family "Bacterial small subunit ribosomal RNA", at positions 355 to 1375 of the family's 1533-position model. The record is from RNAcentral.